RNAcentral lists this ribosomal RNA (499 nucleotides) under Enterococcus avium. RNAcentral's name for it is "bacterial SSU rRNA". It matches the Rfam family "Bacterial small subunit ribosomal RNA", at positions 92 to 578 of the family's 1533-position model. Lineage: Bacteria; Bacillati; Bacillota; Bacilli; Lactobacillales; Enterococcaceae. The record is from RNAcentral.
GGAGUGGCGAACGGGUGAGUAACACGUGGGUAACCUGCCCAUCAGAAGGGGAUAACACUUGGAAACAGGUGCUAAUACCGUAUAACAAUCGAAACCGCAUGGUUUCGGUUUGAAAGGCGCUUUUGCGUCACUGAUGGAUGGACCCGCGGUGCAUUAGCUAGUUGGUGAGGUAACGGCUCACCAAGGCAACGAUGCAUAGCCGACCUGAGAGGGUGAUCGGCCACAUUGGGACUGAGACACGGCCCAAACUCCUACGGGAGGCAGCAGUAGGGAAUCUUCGGCAAUGGACGCAAGUCUGACCGAGCAACGCCGCGUGAGUGAAGAAGGUUUUCGGAUCGUAAAACUCUGUUGUUAGAGAAGAACAAGGAUGAGAGUAAAAUGUUCAUCCCUUGACGGUAUCUAACCAGAAAGCCACGGCUAACUACGUGCCAGCAGCCGCGGUAAUACGUAGGUGGCAAGCGUUGUCCGGAUUUAUUGGGCGUAAAGCGAGCGCAGGCGG